Sinocyclocheilus grahami is the source of this 90-nucleotide long non-coding RNA. RefSeq lists it as uncharacterized. The record is from RefSeq and is a predicted model, not a curated record. The transcript has 3 exons. NCBI's taxonomy places the organism in Eukaryota, Metazoa, Chordata, Actinopteri, Cypriniformes, Cyprinidae.
UGUUGUGUGAUCAUUGGAUGAAUCCACAACAUUAAAACCACUGACAGGUGAAGUGAAUAACAUUGUUUAUAUUGUUACAGUGGCACCUGU